This 253-nucleotide ribosomal RNA is filed under the name uncultured bacterium. Its description in RNAcentral is "partial 16S ribosomal RNA". It matches the Rfam family "Bacterial small subunit ribosomal RNA", at positions 524 to 776 of the family's 1533-position model. The record is from RNAcentral.
UACGUAGGGGGCAAGCGUUGUCCGGAAUUAUUGGGCGUAAAGAGCGUGUAGGCGGUCCGGUAAGUCGGCUGUGAAAAUCCGGGGCUCAACCCCGGACUUGCAGUGGGUACGGGCAGACUAGAGUGUGGUAGGGGAGACUGGAAUUCCUGGUGUAGCGGUGGAAUGCGCAGAUAUCAGGAGGAACACCAAUAGCGAAGGCAGCUCGCUGGGACGUUACUGACACUGAGGCGCGAAAGCGUGGGGAGCGAACAGG